This 778-nucleotide ribosomal RNA is filed under the name Meridiastra nigranota. RNAcentral's name for it is "partial 16S ribosomal RNA". The stretch from base 157 to 778 matches the Rfam family "Archaeal large subunit ribosomal RNA", at positions 1423 to 2619 of the family's 2987-position model. The record is from RNAcentral. Lineage: Eukaryota; Metazoa; Echinodermata; Asteroidea; Valvatida; Asterinidae.
CCCAAAUUGUAAAUAUAUAUAGGAAGAUUUCAUUUAUUUGAAAGUUAUAAUGUUGAAAUUAGUAAAGAUAAAGUGUUUUUUGUGAAUCAAUCAAUCCUAACUUUUGGAUGGAGUAAUAAUUUAUAGUCGGGAAACUAGUUUAUUAUGGUUGUCUACUAACACAAGUAAUAUGUUAUAUAUUAGAUAAGGGAAAGGAAUUCGGCAAAUAAGAACUUCGCCUGUUUACCAAAAACAUCGCUCUUUGUAAAGAGUCUAACAUAUAAAGAGUCCUGCCUGCCCGGUGACUUAGUUAAACGGCCGCGGUAUCUUGACCGUGCAAAGGUAGCAUAAUCAUUUGCCUUUUAAAUGGGGGCUGGUAUGAAUGGCAAGACGGGGGUUAAGCUGUCUCUCUCUUAUAAUCUUGAAUUUGAUAUUUUUGUGAAGAAGCAGGAAUAUAGUCGUAGGACGAGAAGACCCUAUCGAGCUUUAGUAAAAGAAGAUGCAAUUUGUUUAUGCUAUUUUACUGCUAAUUAAUUAUUAUAAAUGGUUGGUGGUUUUACUGUAAGAUAGUAGUAUUGUGUGUCUAAUACUUAGGUUGGGGCAACCGCGGAGAAAAAAAACCCUCCGUUAGUUUAUUGGUAAAAAGUUUUUUUCUUAUGUAAAAUUUUACGUAUAAAGUGAUCCACCUAUAAGGGUGAGCAAAAGAAUAAGUUACCGUAGGGAUAACAGCGUAAUUUUUUUGGAGAGUUCAUAUUGAUAAAAAAGUUUGCGACCUCGAUGUUGGAUCGGGAUUUCCUAG